This is a small nuclear RNA of Pectinophora gossypiella (pink bollworm), 108 nucleotides long. The record is from RefSeq and is a predicted model, not a curated record. NCBI's taxonomy places the organism in Eukaryota, Metazoa, Arthropoda, Insecta, Lepidoptera, Gelechiidae.
ACUUGCUUCGGCAGUAAGUACAUAUAUAAAAUUGGAAAGAUACAGAGUAGAUUAGCAUGGCGCCUGCGCAGGGAUGACACGCAAAAUUGUUAAGCGUUUCAAACUUUU